GCCUAAUACAUGCAAGUCGAACGGUCUUUCUAUGGAAGCUUGCUUCCACUGAGAAGAUAGUGGCGAACGGGUGAGUAACACGUGGGUAACCUGCCCAUAAGAGGGGGGAUAACAUCCGGAAACGGGUGCUAAUACCGCAUAGUUUUCUUGAUCGCAUGAUCGGGAAAGGAAAGACGGCCUUUGUGCUGUCGCUUAUGGAUGGACCCGCGGCGUAUUAGUUAGUUGGUGAGGUAACGGCUCACCAAGACGAUGAUACGUAGCCGACCUGAGAGGGUGAUCGGCCACAUUGGGACUGAGACACGGCCCAAACUCCUACGGGAGGCAGCAGUAGGGAAUCUUCCGCAAUGGACGAAAGUCUGACGGAGCAACGCCGCGUGAGUGAAGAAAAGGUUUUCGGAUCGUAAAACUCUGUUGUCAGAGAAGAACAAGUUGGAGAGUAACUGCUCCAGCCUUGACGGUAUCUGACCAGAAAGCCACGGCUAACUACGUGCCAGCCGCUGC
This 501-nucleotide ribosomal RNA is filed under the name uncultured bacterium. RNAcentral describes it as "bacterial SSU rRNA". It matches the Rfam family "Bacterial small subunit ribosomal RNA", at positions 46 to 518 of the family's 1533-position model. The record is from RNAcentral.